This 737-nucleotide long non-coding RNA is filed under the name Anas platyrhynchos platyrhynchos (common mallard). RNAcentral describes it as "lncRNA (ENSAPLG00000023452.1)". The record is from RNAcentral. Lineage: Eukaryota; Metazoa; Chordata; Aves; Anseriformes; Anatidae.
AUGGCAGCGGAGCUGAGACUCGAGCGUGACCGCAAAAGGAUGCCAAGGACGUUUGUGGUGUUCACCUGGAUCUCUGGCAUCCCUGAAAGGAGGGGAGGAGUGGCUCGUUCUCUGCGUGAGCUGCUGAGGCAGACCGGGAGCUGCAGGAUCAAUGGAGACGCACUGAAAGGUACCGCGGGGUGCCGCGCCGUGCCGGGGGGAUGGAGGGGCUAUGGUGCAGAUGCGGUGGUUUUGGGGAGCUUUGCUCUGCUCCCGGCUGCCUGCAGCUCUGUCAGGGGAAGGAUGGUGACCACACUUCAUGCCUCUGCACCUCUCCACUCUGUUUUGCAGCCUAGGCACCUCCCCGCGGGCAGGGAACCCAUGCUGGUGCCAUGGAGGUCGCCAACAGCAGAGAUUUCCAGUGGAAAACCCUCGCCCCGCUGCCCAGCCGCAGGGUCUACUCCACCCUGGUGGAGGCUGGCGGGCAAGUGUUUGCCAUCGGGGGCUGCGAUGACAACGGGGUCCCCAUGGACUGCUUCGAGGUCUACUCCCCCGAGGCCGACCAGUGGACGGCGCUGCCCCCCAUGCCCACGGCCAGGGCCGGGGUGGCGGUGGCCACCUUGGGCAAGAGGAUCAUGGUGAUAGGGGGGGUCGGCGUGAACCAGACGCCGCUGAAGAUAGUGGAGAUGUACAACGUGGACGAGGGCAAGUGGAAGAAGAGGAACUCGCUGAGGGAAGCGGCCAUGGGCAUCUCGGUG